RNAcentral lists this small nuclear RNA (90 nucleotides) under Zea mays. Lineage: Eukaryota; Viridiplantae; Streptophyta; Magnoliopsida; Poales; Poaceae. The record is from RNAcentral.
GUCUCUUCGGAGACAUCCGAUAAAAUUGGAACGAUACAGAGAAGAUUAGCAAGGAUGACACGCACAAAUCGAGAAAUGGUCCAAAUUUUU